Molecule: long non-coding RNA, 676 nt
Organism: Ailuropoda melanoleuca (giant panda)
Lineage: Eukaryota; Metazoa; Chordata; Mammalia; Carnivora; Ursidae
Exons: 3
Source: RefSeq, a predicted model, not a curated record
UCUCUUUCUUUUGCUGACAGUUGCAAAAAGAAGAGGAACUGCAACUGCUACUGAAAUGGGUAGAGAAUUUCCCAUGUGCCUGUCCUCGUUGGCUGUGGGGCACAGAGGUGGAGCUCGUGAUCUAUGACCCCGACUACAUGAAACUGAUCUUGGGGCGGUCUGAUCCAAAGUCUGAGGGUUCCUACAGAUUCAUGGCUCCCUGGAUAGGGUAUGGUUUGCUCCUGUUGAAUGGGCAAACGUGGUUCCAACACCGGCGGAUGCUGACCCCAGCCUUCCAUUAUGACAUCCUGAAACCCUACGUGGGGCUCAUGGCCGACUCUGUCCAAGUGAUGCUGGUAAGUUCAAACCCUGCUCACCUCCACACUCACACCCACAGCACAAUUCACAGAGUCCACUCUCAGACAGCUGUGUCCCUCAGACAUCCAUUAGACAUGGAAUCACCCACUUAUACCAUACUACGAGACAGGGCUCCCUGAGGAUGGACGGAACACGAAAGCACCCAGGCACCUGCUUUCAUCCACUCUUUACUCAUUGCCCACAGAAGACACAGUCAUGGUGGAUAAAGAGUCCUUUCUCCUCCCACGUCCAUGGUUUUGGCUUGGACAGGAAGAGUAGUCAAUGCCCCUGGACAAUAGGACAAAGUGCCCCUGGCUGGCCUGGGCUGUGGCAGCUUCAG